ACCAGACUCCUACGGGAGGCAGCAGUGGGGAAUAUUGGGCAAUGGGCGCAAGCCUUACCCAGCAAUACCGCGUGAGUGAAGAAGGUCUUCGGAUUGUAAAGCUCUUUGAUCAGGGGCGAACAGAUGACGGUACCUGAAGAACAAGCCCCGGCUAACUACGUGCCAGCAGCCGCGGUAAUACGUAGGGAGCGAGCGUUGUCCGGAAUUACUGGGUGUAAAGGGAGCGUAGGCGGGGAUGCAAGUUGGGUGUCAAAACUACCGGCUCAACUGGUAGUCGCACUCAAAACUGCAGCCCUUGAGUGAAGUAGAGGCAGGCGGAAUUCCUAGUGUAGCGGUGAAAUGCGUAGAUAUUAGGAGGAACACCAGUGGCGAAGGCGGCCUGCUGGGCUUUUACUGGCGCUGAGGCUCGAAAGUGUGGGGAGCAAACAGGAUUAGAUACCCUAGUAA
This 447-nucleotide ribosomal RNA is filed under the name uncultured bacterium. RNAcentral's name for it is "bacterial SSU rRNA". It matches the Rfam family "Bacterial small subunit ribosomal RNA", at positions 330 to 793 of the family's 1533-position model. The record is from RNAcentral.